UACACUCCUACGGGAGGCAGCAGUGGGGAAUAUUGGACAAUGGGCGCAAGCCUGAUCCAGCCAUGCCGCGUGAGUGAUGAAGGCCCUAGGGUUGUAAAGCUCUUUCACCGGUGAAGAUAAUGACGGUAACCGGAGAAGAAGCCCCGGCUAACUUCGUACCAGCAGCCGCGGUAAUACGAAGGGGGCUAGCGUUGUUCGGCUUUACUGGGCGUAAAGCGCACGUAGGCGGACUAUUAAGUCAGGGGUGAAAUCCCGGGGCUCAACCCCGGAACUGCCUUUGAUACUGGUAGUCUUGAGUUCGAGAGAGGUGAGUGGAAUUCCGAGUGUAGAGGUGAAAUUCGUAGAUAUUCGGAGGAACACCAGUGGCGAAGGCGGCUCACUGGCUCGAUACUGACGCUGAGGUGCGAAAGCGUGGGGAGCAAACAGGAUUAGAUACCCCUGUAGUCCC
This 448-nucleotide ribosomal RNA is filed under the name uncultured organism. RNAcentral describes it as "partial 16S ribosomal RNA". It matches the Rfam family "Bacterial small subunit ribosomal RNA", at positions 332 to 797 of the family's 1533-position model. The record is from RNAcentral.